This 289-nucleotide long non-coding RNA is filed under the name Mustela putorius furo (domestic ferret). Its description in RNAcentral is "lncRNA (ENSMPUG00000031192.1)". Lineage: Eukaryota; Metazoa; Chordata; Mammalia; Carnivora; Mustelidae. The record is from RNAcentral.
AAAAAGACAAGGCAGCAAGUUCCUUCGGCUUUGGAAAAGUCUUUUGAGAUAGGUGGCAUUACUGUCUUCACUGCCCAGAUGAAAAAGAAAGUGGAUGUGCUGAUUGCAGCUAUAGCAGUUAUCUCGUAACCAAAGGAACAACAAAGACAUUGUUAGCCUUAGAACAGAACUUAGCAGCUACCUACCUCUUGUUUUCUUAUUAUGUGAGAAAAAUAAUCUGUUUUAAGCUACUGUUGUGGGUUAUAAAGAGCCAAACACAGCUAAACUUAUAUCUUUUUUCCUGCUGUCU